Molecule: non-coding RNA, 160 nt
Organism: Delphinapterus leucas (beluga whale)
Lineage: Eukaryota; Metazoa; Chordata; Mammalia; Artiodactyla; Monodontidae
Source: RefSeq, a predicted model, not a curated record
GUCGGCCCGCGCCCGCCGCACGCAUGCGCUCUGCGCCCAGCAUGAGGGUCGCGGCUCUGAUCAGUGGUGGGAAGGACAGCUGUUAUAAUAUGAUGCAGUGCAUUGCUGCUGGGCAUCAGAUUGUUGCUUUAGCAAAUCUAAGACCACCUGAAAACCAAGG